AACGAACGCUGGCGGCAUGCCUAACACAUGCAAGUCGAACGAAACCUUCGGGUCUAGUGUCGCACGGGUGCGUAACGCGUGGGAAGCUGCACUUGUGUUCGGAAUACCUCCCCGAAAGGGGUGCUAAUACCGGAUAAUGUCUUCGGACCAAAGAUUUAUUGCCUUAGGAUGGACCCGCGUUGGAUUAGCUGGUUGGUAGGGUAAAAGCCUACUAAGGCGACGAUCCGUAGCUGGUCUGAGAGGAUGAUCAGCCACACUGGGACUGAGACACGGCCCAGACUCCUACGCGAGGCAGCAGUGGGGAAUAUUGGACAAUGGGCGGAAGCCUGAUCGAGCAAGGCCGGGUGAGUGAUGAAGGCCUUAGGGUUGUAAAGCUCUUUUACCCGGGAUGAUAAUGACAGUACCGGGAGAAUAAGCUCCGGCUAACUCCGUG
Molecule: ribosomal RNA, 433 nt
Filed under: uncultured bacterium
Lineage: Bacteria
Description: partial 16S ribosomal RNA
Rfam family: Bacterial small subunit ribosomal RNA
Source: RNAcentral